AGUGAACGCUGGCGGCAGGCCUAACACAUGCAAGUCGAACGGCAGCACAAGAGAGCUUGCUCUCUGGGUGGCGAGUGGCGGACGGGUGAGGAAUGCAUCGGAAUCUGCCCAUUUGUGGGGGAUAACCUCGGGAAACCGGGACUAAUACCGCAUACGACCUACGGGUGAAAGCAGGGGAUCUUCGGGCCUUGCGCAGAUGGAUGAGCCGAUGCCGGAUUAGCUAGUUGGAGGGGUAAAGGCCCACCAAGGCGACGAUCCGUAGCUGGUCUGAGAGGAUGAUCAGCCACACUGGGACUGAGACACGGCCCAGACUCCUACGGGAGGCAGCAGUGGGGAAUAUUGGACAAUGGGCGCAAGCCUGAUCCAGCCAUGCCGCGUGUGUGAAGAAGGCCUUCGGGUUGUAAAGCACUUUUGUUGGGAAAGAAAAGCAGCCGGUUAAUACCCGGUUGUCAUGACGGUACCCAAAGAAUAAGCACCGGCUAACUUCGUG
This 490-nucleotide ribosomal RNA is filed under the name uncultured bacterium. RNAcentral's name for it is "partial 16S ribosomal RNA". It matches the Rfam family "Bacterial small subunit ribosomal RNA", at positions 29 to 507 of the family's 1533-position model. The record is from RNAcentral.